Molecule: ribosomal RNA, 253 nt
Filed under: uncultured bacterium
Lineage: Bacteria
Description: partial 16S ribosomal RNA
Rfam family: Bacterial small subunit ribosomal RNA
Source: RNAcentral
UACGUAGGGUGCAAGCGUUGUCCGGAAUUAUUGGGCGUAAAGAGCUCGUAGGCGGUUCGUCGCGUCGGCUGUGAAAGCCUGAGGCUCAACCUCAGGCCUGCAGUCGAUACGGGCGGACUUGAGUACUGCAGGGGAGACUGGAAUUCCUGGUGUAGCGGUGAAAUGCGCAGAUAUCAGGAGGAACACCGGUGGCGAAGGCGGGUCUCUGGGCAGUAACUGACGCUGAGGAGCGAAAGCGUGGGGAGCGAACAGG